Molecule: small nuclear RNA, 283 nt
Filed under: Oryctolagus cuniculus (rabbit)
Lineage: Eukaryota; Metazoa; Chordata; Mammalia; Lagomorpha; Leporidae
Description: 7SK RNA
Rfam family: 7SK RNA
About the family: 7SK was discovered as an abundant small nuclear RNA in the mid-70s but a possible function has only recently been suggested. Two independent studies have found that 7SK RNA binds the CDK9/cyclin T complex (known as elongation factor P-TEFb).
Source: Rfam by way of RNAcentral
GCAUGUGAGGGCGAUCUGGCUAUGACAUCUGUCACUCCAUUGAUCACCAGGGUUGAUUCCUCUGAUCUGGCUGGCUAGGCAGGUGUCCCCUUCCUCCCUCACUGCUCCAUGUACGUCCCUCCCAAAGCUGCAUGCUCAAAGAGGACAACCUUCCCCGCUAGAGGAGGACCGGUCUUUGGUCAAGGGCAUACGAGUAGCUGCACCCCCUGCUGGAACCUCCAAACAAGCUCUCAAGAGAAAAAACUGUCAACCCAGAAUACUGUACCCUGCAAAGCUCUCAUUU